AUUGAACGCUGGCGGCAUGCCUUACACAUGCAAGUCGAACGGCAGCACGGGAGCAAUCCUGGUGGCGAGUGGCGAACGGGUGAGUAAUGUAUCGGAACGUGCCCAGUCGUGGGGGAUAACGUAGCGAAAGCUACGCUAAUACCGCAUACGAUCUAUGGAUGAAAGCGGGGGAUCGAAAGACCUCGCGCGAUGGGAGCGGCCGAUAUCAGAUUAGGUAGUUGGUGGGGUAAAGGCUCCCCAAGCCGACCAUCUGCAGCUGGUCUGAGAGGACGACCAGCCACACUGGGACUGAGAAACGGCCCAGACUCCUACGGGAGGCAGCAGUGGGGAAUUUUGGACAAUGGGCGCAAGCCUGAUCCAACAAUGCCGCGUGCAGGAUGAAGGCCUUCGGGUUGUAAACUGCUUUUGUACGGAACGAAACGGCGAGCUCUAAUACAGUUUGCUAAUGACGGUACCGUAAGAAUAAGCACCGGCUAACUACGUGCCAGCAGCCGCCGUAA
This 500-nucleotide ribosomal RNA is filed under the name uncultured bacterium. RNAcentral describes it as "partial 16S ribosomal RNA". It matches the Rfam family "Bacterial small subunit ribosomal RNA", at positions 30 to 523 of the family's 1533-position model. The record is from RNAcentral.